AUUGAACGCUGGCGGCAGGCCUAACACAUGCAAGUCGAGCGGAUGAAGGGAGCUUGCUCCUGGAUUCAGCGGCGGACGGGUGAGUAAUGCCUAGGAAUCUGCCUGGUAGUGGGGGAUAACGUCCGGGAACGGGCGCUAAUACCGCAUACGUCCUGAGGGAGAAAGUGGGGGAUCUUCGGACCUCACGCUAUCAGAUGAGCCUAGGUCGGAUUAGCUAGUUGGUGGGGUAAAGGCCUACCAAGGCGACGAUCCGUAACUGGUCUGAGAGGAUGAUCAGUCACACUGGAACUGAGACACGGUCCAGACUCCUACGGGAGGCAGCAGUGGGGAAUAUUGGGCAAUGGGCGAAAGCCUGAUCCAGCCAUGCCGCGUGUGUGAAGAAGGUCUUCGGAUUGUAAAGCACUUUAAGUUGGGAGGAAGGGCAGUAAGUUAAUACCUUGCUGUUUUGACGUUACCAACAGAAUAAGCACCGGCUAACUUCGUG
This 484-nucleotide ribosomal RNA is filed under the name uncultured bacterium. RNAcentral's name for it is "partial 16S ribosomal RNA". It matches the Rfam family "Bacterial small subunit ribosomal RNA", at positions 30 to 507 of the family's 1533-position model. The record is from RNAcentral.